UAGUCCACGCCGUAAACGAUGGUUACUAGCUGUUCGAUCUUCGGAUUGAGUGGCUAAGCGAAAGUGAUAAGUAACCCACCUGGGGAGUACGUUCGCAAGAAUGAAACUCAAAGGAAUUGACGGGGCCCGCACAAGCGGUGGAGCAUGUGGUUUAAUUCGAUGAUACGCGAGGAACCUUACCAGGGCUUAAAUGUAUUGUGACAGGGGUGGAAACACUCUUUUCUUCGGACACUUUACAAGGUGCUGCAUGGUUGUCGUCAGCUCGUGCCGUGAGGUGUCAGGUUAAGUCCUAUAACGAGCGCAACCCCUGUUGUUAGUUGCCAUCGAGUAAUGUCGGGAACUCUAACAAGACUGCCGGUGCAAACCGUGAGGAAGUGGGGAUGACGUCAAAUCAUCACGGCCCUUACGUCCUGGGGCUACACACGCGCUACAAUGGCCGGUACAGAGGGGCAGCCACUGGGGUGACCAGGGAGCGAAUCCUUAAAAACCGGGUCUCAGUUCGGGAUCGGGAGUCUGCAAC
This 520-nucleotide ribosomal RNA is filed under the name uncultured bacterium. RNAcentral's name for it is "bacterial SSU rRNA". It matches the Rfam family "Bacterial small subunit ribosomal RNA", at positions 791 to 1311 of the family's 1533-position model. The record is from RNAcentral.